AAAUUCCGGUUUCAAAACCGCUUCGGUAAUUCUUGAUCCAAGACCUAAAGCGGGUUUCUCUUUGAAUACGUUCGUGUAUUGCAGCAUAAGUUUUCUCGACAUCGAAGCUGUGUUCGAGGGUUGUUUAUCAAGGAAAAUUUUCAUCUUGUGUAUGAAACGUUUCAUUUUACUUUGAAUUUAAAUAAAAAUGUAAUAAUAUCUUUGACACUUUCUUUUUUGAUUAAAAACAACUUUUUUGUUGCUAAGUUUACCGCUUAUUAACGGCCAUUAUGGUUGAAAAACAAAUAGGAGUGAAGUGGGUGAUGUCACAUUUUAGCGGGAAAAUCAAAUUAAAAACGUCAUCGAAUAUUGACUCAAACUCAAGGUUACGAAGGUAAUAAAGUACGUAAGACGUGUGGAGGAUUCGGAUUUUCAAACUUUGUUAUGUCAAUGCAAAAAUGUACAAACACAAAGAAGCAUUGUUAUAAUCCAACAGGUACCUUACCCGUCUCAUGACGCGAAGUGAAAACGACGAAGUCUUCAUCUUGAAUGAUGUGCUCUUAGCUACUUUAAAGGAUUUAAUCUAGCUAAGAAAGAUUUGAAACUAAACUACAAUAUGCUACGGGAUCUUAAUCAAUUAAAAGAGAAUAUAAAGUCCUUUUUAUUUUUUGAUACAAUCUUUUAAUCCGGUUUUUAUUUUUUAUUGAGAGGAUCAAAUUCAGCGACUGAAUCAGAUCGAAUCUGCACGGUUACUAAAGAGAUGGGGAUGUGGCUGAGGGAAGCUGGAGAAUUUCCAGGGGAUCUCAAACGUUUCAAUCACAAAUUGGGUUAAUAGAAGUAAUUGCAUCAAUUUUUUUUAAUUGAUGAGGUGCAAAAAGGAUUUCUUAACAACUAAGAAUUAAGAUUGGAUUAAUUUAAGAUGUAUUUGUGAUAUAAUGUUGGUUUUUUUGAAUGGAUCGAUAUUUUCUCGUCAAAAAUCGUCUCAUCUCGUCUCUUAGCAACAGAUUCUGGGCGAGGAUUAAUUUGAAUAAAAUAAAAAUCGAGGAAAUAGA
Onthophagus taurus is the source of this 1031-nucleotide long non-coding RNA. RefSeq lists it as uncharacterized. The record is from RefSeq and is a predicted model, not a curated record. Lineage: Eukaryota; Metazoa; Arthropoda; Insecta; Coleoptera; Scarabaeidae.